ACAGGCGCGUUUCUCGGAGCUAAUCCCUCAUUUCUGUCUGACAGGCUGAAUCAGGCGGGUCCACAUGAAUAAAUCCUGCAGCAGAGGUCAGUCAGAGUCACAGAGGGAAUAACGGCGUCGAUUUUCAUCCGAACACGAAAAGAUCUGAAGAGAAGCAUCUGUGAGGAUGAAGACAGAAGACAGAGAAAAGACGACCGAGACGACGUUCACCUGCAGGAGAGUCAAAACGAACCCUGAACCGUGUCCUGCUCAAGGUUCAAGAUCGUUUAAUAAAAAACUCCUGAUUUUUAACACGGACAGGAACUGGAAGGAAGUUCAGGUUUCAUUCCUGUGUGUGUGUGUGUGUGUGUGUGUGUGUGUGUGUGUGUGUGUGUGUGUGUAGGCUGCUCUGUAUGUGGGACACGUCUCCUCCCUCCGUCAGCUCGCUCAGCUCCACACUGAUCAUCGUUGUUCUGACACCAGAGACCAGCGGCGCUCUGAGCACGUCUCUGUUAAUGAGACACGAUCAGACUAAUCACCGAUCAAUAAUUACAUCAGCUCACAGUCGACCUCAGAUCUGCUCCUCCUGCAGGUUUGAAUAUAAAGCUGCUGAUUGGACGAAAGCUGCAGACGGGGACAUGUUCGCUGUCGCUGUGGGGCGAACACGCGCUGUCAGCGGCUCUGCAGAUUUACACGAACGCAGAGUCAUGUGACUUUAUCAGACAUGAACGCAGAGUCAUGUGACUUUAUCAGACAUGAACACAGAGUCAUGUGACUUUAUCAGACAUGAACACAGAGUCAUGUGACUUUAUCAGACAUGAACGGAGAGUCAUGUGACUUUAUCAGACGCCAACGGAGAGGGCGGACCCGCUCAUUGACCCCAGAUCGAACCUCGUGGCGGACCCUCUCAGGUCCAAACGCUCCUCUGUCAGAGUCCUCACAGAGAUAGGAAAACAGGAGCACACACACACACUCAUGCAGAUCCAGCAGGCAGAAUGAGGUCCCUGAUGAUGAGGAGGAGGAUUGAGGAUGAAGAGGAGGCUUAUGUUGAGCCGAGGAGGAGGAGGAGGAGGAGGAGGAGGAGCUGCAGCUUCGCUCUUCAUCUCACAAUCCAGGAGUUUAUUUUAGGAAAGAUGAGACCGGGUUUAGGGGGACGGGUCUGAGGACAUGUGGGUCAGACUCUGAGACAGAGAUCAUGAGACGGUCCUGGUUCAGGUCCUCACGGUCUGAACUGUCCCUUUAGUGGACUGAUGUAAAGAUCGUUUAAUUCGCCUCACAAAGGAUCCGGUAAGAAUUGGCGGACGGCGAAAAAUCAGAGUCGUUCCAGAUUUGGAGAAAACUGGGGGGUCAGUCUCUGAAGUCAGACUGGAUCACAGACCAACAGGUCAGACCUGAUCCUGCAGAGUCCAGAAAAACCACGACCUCUGUGACCCUCAGUCUGAGCAGGUUCUCCACCUUCACUGUGAGUCUGCAGGACGACUUUAAAUAUGAACCAGGUACACACACACACACACACACACACACACACACACACACACACACACACACACACACACACACACACACACACACACACACACACACACACACACACACACACACACAGACACACACACACACACACACACACACACACACACACACACACACAGUGGUUCUCCUGGUGUGGUUAAUGGAGCUGAGCAGACAGGUACCUGAAACACAAACAUCUACAGCAGCAGCUGUUCAGCUCUUUACCUGCUCAAACCUCCUUAUCUCCUCACUUACAUGCUCAGCUCUGUGUGUGUGUGUGUGUGUGCACGUGUGUUUGUGUGUAUGUGUUUGUGUGUGUAAUGUACCAUCACACCCUCUGUUGUCUGUUUCUCUCUCUGCAGCAGCUUGUUGUUGAGACGAUGAAUUUCAGCUUCACCUUCUUCUUCUUCUACUUCCUGUCAACUCUACCAAAGUUCAUCAUCAUCAGGACCUCAACGAAGAUGUCGACCAUGACGACCAUGACGACCAUGACGACGAUGACCUGCUCAGAGUGAAGAGCUCUCUGCUGUCUCAUAAACUCACGGCUCGGUCCGUCGACAUGAUAAUGAUCUCUGUCUGAGAGCAUGUUAUCAACCAUCGGAGUCAAACUUUGUCACUCUGAACCAAACUCUCCUCCUUCCUUCCUCCCUUCCUUCCUUCCUUCCUUCCUUCGUCUAACAGCUGCCUGGAUGAGGACGCUGAGCGCUUCUGCUCACUUUCACGCACCAUGAAAUAUUCAGAGCUGAAUGCAUGUCCUUUUUAUUAUUCAUGGGCUCACUUGACAUCUCUGAAUCAUUCACACACACACACACACACACACACACACACACACACACACACACACACACACACACACACACACACACACACACACACACUCAGGGUCAUAUUUGCAUACUGGGAGGUUCUGGUCUCAGACUCAGAGAUCGUGGAAACCCUCCGGUCACCUCUCUCUCUCUCUCUCUCUCUCCUCGUCCUUCUUCUCCAACUUUUCCAGGAGUUAGUUUUGAACCCUUUCAAAAUAAAAGCAUAUCUUUAAAAUAACCUGAGAGUGAGUGAAAGUUUAGCUGGACUAUUUUGACUUAUUUCAUAUUUUCCUUAAAUCCUGUAUAUUUCUCAAAGCUAACUGCUUUUAUUUUGAAAAUCCCACCUCAUGGUUUUUUUGGUGUGUUUUAGACGCCUGACGUGUUUUUGCAGAUGUUUCAUGGACUGGUCAGUCUGAUGACCGGGCUGUCGGGGUGUUUUCGGCCCCCUAGUGGUCAGAUAUGGGUCACUGCAGAGUUCCUGUGGUCUCAUGAACAGUCUGAGGAUCCUCAUUAGCAGCAGAGGAUUCAGUUUUAUCCCUCUGAAGACCGACACACGUGUUCCUGAUUAGUCCCAAAAGCUGCUGAGGAAGUCGGUCUUUAAAAUCGACCCAUAAAUCAGAGUUGAACGUCUCGGUUCUUCUUCAGAAGAUGUUCGGGGUGAUUCCUCAAAUUCCUUCUGCAUUAAAAAUGAAGAUGAAGUCUGACAGCAGAAGUCUGAAAACGUUCAGAGUCUUCAGAGACCGGGUUUCCUGAAGCGUCCCCGUCCCAGCAGAUCAGCACUGAACCGUCACUGAGGACACGUUCCUGUGAACCUCCAGCUCACGGCUCAGACAUGACUGAGUUUAACCAGCGACACACGACCACGGCGAGGAGGGGGAGGAGGACAGAUUCAUGUCUGCAGAGUUCCUGCUUCACUUCACCCGAGCAGCAGCUCCAAGUUUCUCUCUCACAGCUGCACACAUGCAACGCUGCUCUAAAAAUACAGCUGAGGACGGACGCACACAUGCAAGACUGAAGAGCUGAACCGUGUUUCUAUCAUUGCCUCAGACACACCAGAACCUCCUGACCUUCACCACCUCAGAGGAAACAGUUUACUGCAGCAGAGGAAAUUCACAACAACGAAGAAGACCACCAAGAACGAUGACCGUCUCCUGAAAGACCGUCUGCAAUCGAAGUUUUUAGUGUGAUCAUCUUUAAAACCGAACCUGAGAUCAAAGUUCAGAUGACAUGAACUCCAGACGUCUUCAAGAUGAUUGAAAUACAGCUCCUCGUUUAAUAAUAAUAAUAAUAACUUUAGUUUUUAUAUCACUUUUAAAAACAGAAGUUUACAAAGUGUUUCGACAAACAAUCGUACAUGGAAAUAAAAACAAAGUUAAAAACAAGAGCUCCGAAUUAAAGGUCAAUUUCAUUUGUCAUAAGAAACUCUGACAAUAGAAGAACCGACGACGUAAACUGAGACCAAAAUAAAAAUAUAAAGAAGGUAAGAGAAAGAAAUGUCAUAAAAAAGGGGAAAGAAAGAAGGAAACAGGAGAGUAAAUAUAAAAGAGGAUAUUAAUAAUAAUGAUAAUUUUGAAUUUCCCUCUGGGAUUAAUAAUCUACCUACCUACCCAUCAAUAAAUCAUGACAAAAUAAUAAUAGUGGUAAUAAUAAUGAUAAAAUUUAAUAACAACAAAGAGCAGAAAAAAACAAUAAAAUCAAUAAAAGGUUAAAUAAGAAACGAUUAUAAGUAAAACAAAAGCUAAAAGACAUGAAGUCAAAAUAAGAGCGAGGUAAAAGAGAAAAGACGACCUCAGAUAAAAUCAAGUCAGAGUGUAGCAGGUGACCUUUCAAAAUAAAAGUCAGUUUAAUCAGAAACAAAGAGCUAGAAUAUAGAUCUUAAUGUCAAACGUAUUCCUUAUUUCUGCUGAUCUUGAACCUUUAUUUUGAUUUCUCUGAUAUUUCUUCUUCUUCUUCUUCUGAAUCGUUUUAAAGACCCCCGCAGACUUCAUACUGGACCUGUUUUUACUGGUUUUAUUGGCUCCUCUCAAACAGACGCUGGUUUUUCACGUCUAUAUUUACCGCCUCAGUAUUUCAGCGUUAGACCGAGCUCGGCGUUUGGAUUGGUGACGCCUGCACUGAUGUGUGCGCUCUAUAUUUACAGAUCUGUGAACACAUGAAUAUUGCAUCACCCUCAGUGAACCGUGGGUCUGCUUCACACGUUCACUCGGCUCUUUAUAAUUCAGGAUGAAUAUGCAUCACACACUCACACCGUAUAUAGCAGCAUCCUCAGGAGGAACGCUCCGUCUCUAUGGAAACACUGCAGGAACAGCUGAUUACAACCAUCAUCAUCAUCAUCAGAAGGUAAACAUGAUGAAGGCCGCUCACAGAGACUGUCCUUUACUCUGACACUUUCCCUCCAACAGGCUGACCUUUGACCCAGACGGACAGCAGGACACUCUCAG
This 4738-nucleotide long non-coding RNA is filed under the name Xyrichtys novacula (pearly razorfish). The record is from RNAcentral. Lineage: Eukaryota; Metazoa; Chordata; Actinopteri; Labriformes; Labridae.